GGGAGAGAAAAAAGCUACCAGCAACAUUCAGACUGAGAGAGGCCAAAAUACUAAUUCAUAAUUAGCCUGGUACAUAUGAAGGAUCAAAAAGAACAGGACUGUAUGUCUAACCUCUGACAGGCCCUACCACCAUAGUAGAGACUCAGUAUGUAUACUUAAUGAAGGAAUAAUGAAUACAUCAGCAAGAGAAAUAAGAGUGACCAUAUGUUCCUUAAGAGAAGCAAAGAGCAGCUCCUGUUCCUGCUGGAAUGAGUCUCCAUUCCUUGCAACAGAAGUGUCCUAAGUUAUAGCCAGAGGACGGGGGCACAUUGACAAAACAUAAUAACAAGGUACCAUUCCAGCAAGAACAUCUGAAGAAAGAAGCAGUGUUGUUUAUCUUUCCUUCAUCUAUUCUGAAACUAAAAUCCUUAACCAAAUUUAUUUCCGAAGUUUAACCCUUUAAUAAACUGGCCUCUGACUCCACCUGGUGGAGAUACAUAAAUCUAUGAAAAUAAACCAAUCCAAAUGAAGAUUUUAAAGUCAUCGGCUCUCUUUCAUGUCUCAAAGAAAAAACACAUAUCCCAAAAUUCAAAUAGAUGACCUUCUCGGAUGUGUUAUAGGCACUCAGAAGCCCCGAAGAAAAAAUAGUUUGAGUUGAUCAUUUGACUGUUGCUCUCAGCCUUCAUUUCUGCCUUUCUAGGUUGUGUCAGGCAUUUUGACUGUCCAGGGGCCCUGCAUAUUCUAUUUUCCUAGUUACUUGCUAAGGUUUGAAUAUUUGUCCCCCUCCAAAACUCAUGUUGAAAUUUAAU
Molecule: long non-coding RNA, 788 nt
Filed under: Pan troglodytes (chimpanzee)
Lineage: Eukaryota; Metazoa; Chordata; Mammalia; Primates; Hominidae
Description: long non-coding RNA NONPTRT017819
Source: RNAcentral